Molecule: small nucleolar RNA, 213 nt
Filed under: Erythranthe guttata (spotted monkey flower)
Lineage: Eukaryota; Viridiplantae; Streptophyta; Magnoliopsida; Lamiales; Phrymaceae
Description: Mimulus guttatus (spotted monkey flower) Plant small nucleolar RNA U3
Rfam family: Plant small nucleolar RNA U3
About the family: Small nucleolar RNAs (snoRNAs) are involved in the processing and modification of rRNA in the nucleolus. There are two main classes of snoRNAs: the box C/D class, and the box H/ACA class. U3 snoRNA is a member of the box C/D class.
Source: Rfam by way of RNAcentral
ACGACCUUACUUGAACAGGAUCUGUUCUAUAGGCUCGUACCUCUGAAUCCUUGAUUUCUAAGGAGACAGGAAACUAAGCCUGGUGGAUGAACCAUGGCUGCUCGGCCAGAGCGUGAUUAACGGACUCAGUGGCGCAUGCUAUCUGACUCAGUAGAGGAUCGUUCUCGGUCAGCUUUGGCUGGCUGGGGUGGUCGAGCAGCUGUCUGACAGACU